CGCACAUUGCGCCCGCCAGCAUUCUGGCGGGCAUGCCUGUCCGAGCGUCAUUUCAACCCUCAAGCUCUGCUUGGUUUUGGGGCACUAUAGUCGAUAUAGGCCCUUAAAGGUAGUGGCGGACCCUCCCGGAGCCCCCUUUGCGUAGUAACAUCUCGUCUCGCACUGGGAUCCGGAGGGACUCCUGCCGUAAAACCCCCUAUUUUUCAAAGGUUGACCUCGGAUCAGGUAGGAAUACCCGCUGAACUUAA
Molecule: unclassified non-coding RNA, 248 nt
Filed under: Colletotrichum constrictum
Lineage: Eukaryota; Fungi; Ascomycota; Sordariomycetes; Glomerellales; Glomerellaceae
Description: partial contains 5.8S ribosomal RNA, internal transcribed spacer 2, and large subunit ribosomal RNA
Source: RNAcentral